Molecule: long non-coding RNA, 253 nt
Filed under: Lathyrus oleraceus (garden pea)
Lineage: Eukaryota; Viridiplantae; Streptophyta; Magnoliopsida; Fabales; Fabaceae
Description: Pisum sativum (pea) long non-coding RNA (PSAT_LNC030959)
Source: RNAcentral
AUCUUUUCAACUCUUAACUUUUAAUUUUGUGCAUAGGAUUAGUCUUUUCAUCUCCUCCCCAUUUCUUUAAUUUCAAAAUAUCUCCCUCCUUUCAAAAACUUCUUUGUUUGAACCUGUUAUUUUCUAAAUUUUGACCACUUUCCAAACUAGAAACUUUGGCCUUAUGCCAUUGCAUUUUCAAACUUCUUGUCUUAAUCAAACUUGUAAAUAGACUUAACUAUACUUGACCUAAACUUUCAAAAGCCAAAAAAAG